AUUUAACAUGAGAGUUUGAUCCUGGCUCAGAAUCAACGCUGGCGGCGUGCCUAACACAUGCAAGUCGAACGCGACUGAGGGCUUCGGCUCUCAGUUGAGUGGCGAACGGGUGAGUAACACGUGGGUGACCUACCUUCGAGUGGGGGAUAACGUCCCGAAAGGGACGCUAAUACCGCAUAACAUCCCGCCUUUGAACAGGCGGACAUCAAAGCCGGGGAUCGCAAGACCUGGCGCUUGAAGAGGGGCCCGCGUCCGAUUAGCUAGUUGGUGAGGUAAUGGCCCACCAAGGCGACGAUCGGUAGCCGGCCUGAGAGGGCGGACGGCCACACUGGGACUGAGACACGGCCCAG
RNAcentral lists this ribosomal RNA (350 nucleotides) under Acidobacteria bacterium RIFCSPLOWO2_02_FULL_67_21. RNAcentral describes it as "bacterial SSU rRNA". It matches the Rfam family "Bacterial small subunit ribosomal RNA", at positions 1 to 334 of the family's 1533-position model. Lineage: Bacteria; Pseudomonadati; Acidobacteriota. The record is from RNAcentral.